This 247-nucleotide long non-coding RNA is filed under the name Lathyrus oleraceus (garden pea). RNAcentral describes it as "Pisum sativum (pea) long non-coding RNA (PSAT_LNC025897)". Lineage: Eukaryota; Viridiplantae; Streptophyta; Magnoliopsida; Fabales; Fabaceae. The record is from RNAcentral.
AAUCAACUAAGAUUCAAGGCCAACAAAAGUUAACAAAGGUCAAAGAAGCAUAAAAUGCAAGAAAAUAAAAUAAAAUGCAUCAAAAAUAUUUUUAAAAUGAAUUUUAAAAGGGAAAUAAAAGAUAAAAUCCAUAAAGCACUUCAAAACAUUAAAUAAAUGACCAAGAAAAUUAUGGAAGGUUAGAGAUAAAAUAAGAAACAUAAAAUAAAUUUUCAGAAUUUUUAGAUGCAUAAAAGUAUUUUUAAAC